RNAcentral lists this transfer RNA (67 nucleotides) under Megalodontes spiraeae. RNAcentral's name for it is "tRNA-Ile". Lineage: Eukaryota; Metazoa; Arthropoda; Insecta; Hymenoptera; Megalodontesidae. The record is from RNAcentral.
AAUGAGAUGCCUGAUUUAAAAGGAUUAUUAUGAUAUAAUAAAUAAUGAAUAUAUUAUUCUCUCAUUA